RNAcentral lists this ribosomal RNA (1217 nucleotides) under Rummeliibacillus stabekisii. Its description in RNAcentral is "bacterial SSU rRNA". It matches the Rfam family "Bacterial small subunit ribosomal RNA", at positions 31 to 1262 of the family's 1533-position model. The record is from RNAcentral. Lineage: Bacteria; Bacillati; Bacillota; Bacilli; Caryophanales; Caryophanaceae.
GAAUGGGGGCAUGCCUAUGCAUGCAAGUCGAGCGCAUGACGAGGAGCUUGCUCCUCUGAUUGAGCGGCGGACGGGUGAGUAACACGUGGGCAACCUGCCCUGUAGACGGGGAUAACUUCGGGAAACCGGAGCUAAUACCGGAUAAUCCUCUUCCCCACAUGGGGAAGAGUUGAAAGGCGCUUUCGCGUCACUACAGGAUGGGCCCGCGGUGCAUUAGCUAGUUGGUGGGGUAACGGCCUACCAAGGCGACGAUGCAUAGCCGACCUGAGAGGGUGAUCGGCCACAUUGGGACUGAGACACGGCCCAAACUCCUACGGGAGGCAGCAGUAGGGAAUCUUCCACAAUGGACGAAAGUCUGAUGGAGCAACGCCGCGUGAGUGAUGAAGGUUUUCGGAUCGUAAAACUCUGUUGUAAGGGAAGAACCAGUACGUCAGGCAAUGGACGUACCUUGACGGUACCUUAUUAGAAAGCCACGGCUAACUACGUGCCAGCAGCCGCGGUAAUACGUAGGUGGCAAGCGUUGUCCGGAAUUAUUGGGCGUAAAGCGCGCGCAGGUGGUUUCUUAAGUCUGAUGUGAAAGCCCACGGCUUAACCGUGGAGGGUCAUUGGAAACUGGGAGACUUGAGUGCAGAAGAGGAAAGUGGAAUUCCAAGUGUAGCGGUGAAAUGCGUAGAGAUUUGGAGGAACACCAGUGGCGAAGGCGACUUUCUGGUCUGCAACUGACGCUGAGGCGCGAAAGCAUGGGGAGCAAACAGGAUUAGAUACCCUGGUAGUCCAUGCCGUAAACGAUGAGUGCUAAGUGUUAGGGGUUUCCGCCCCUUAGUGCUGCAGCUAACGCAUUAAGCACUCCGCCUGGGGAGUACGACCGCAAGGUUGAAACUCAAAGGAAUUGACGGGGGCCCGCACAAGCGGUGGAGCAUGUGGUUUAAUUCGAAGCAACGCGAAGAACCUUACCAGGUCUGACAUCCCGAUGACCGCUCUAGAAGAUAGAGUUUUCCUUCGGGACAUGGUGACAGGUGGUGCAUCCGUCGUCAGCUCGUGUCGUGAGAAUGGUGGGUAGUUCCCGCACGAGCGCCACCCGUAUCUAGUGCAUCAUUAGUGGCACUCUAGGUGACUGCGUGAUAACCGGAAGAAGGUGGGAUGACGUCAAAUCUCAUGCUUAGACCUGGGUCUCACGACGGUCCGUCAAUUGGAGACGGGGUCCAAAGAGGUGCGCU